RNAcentral lists this ribosomal RNA (468 nucleotides) under uncultured bacterium. RNAcentral describes it as "partial 16S ribosomal RNA". It matches the Rfam family "Bacterial small subunit ribosomal RNA", at positions 28 to 507 of the family's 1533-position model. The record is from RNAcentral.
GACGAACGCUGGCGGCGUGCUUAACACAUGCAAGUCGAACGGAAAGGUCCUGCUUUUGUGGGGUGCUCGAGUGGCGAACGGGUGAGUAACACGUGAGUAACCUGUCCUUGCCUUUGGGAUAACCUCAGGCAACUGGGGAUAAUACCGGAUAGGAGCCUCUGCUGCAUGGUGGGGGUUGGAAAGUUUCGGCGGGUGGGGAUGGACUCGCGGCUUAUCAGCUUGUUGGUGGGGUAGUGGCUUACCCAGGCUUUGACGGGUAGCCGGCCUGAGAGGGUGACCGGCCACAUUGGGACUGAGAUACGGCCCAGACUCCUACGGGAGGCAGCAGUGGGGAAUAUUGCACAAUGGGCGGAAGCCUGAGGCAGCGACGCCGCGUGCGGGAUGACGGCCUUCUGGUUGUAAACCGCUUUCGCCUGUGACGAAGCGUGAGUGACGGUAAUGGGUAAAGAAGCACCGGCUAACUACGUG